AGAGUUUGAUCCUGGCUCAGAACGAACGCUGGCGGCAGGCCUAACACAUGCAAGUCGAGCGGCCGUAGCAAUACGGCAGCGGCAGACGGGAGAGUAACACGUGGGAACGCGCCCUUCGGUUCGGGAUAACUCAGGGAAACUUUGGCUAAUACCGCAUAAGCCUGAGAAGGGAAAGCAGAAAUGCGCUGAAAGAGGAGCCCGCGGCCGAUUAGCUAGUUGGUGGGGUAAGAGCCCACCAAGGCAGAGAUCGGUAGCCGGCCUGAGAGGGCACACGGCCACACUGGCACUGAAACACGGGCCAGACUCCUACGGGAGGCAGCAGUGGGGAAUCUUGCGCAAUGGGCGAAAGCCUGACGCAGCGACGCCGCGUGGGGGAUGACGGGUUUCGGCUUGUAAACCCCUGUUGCCCGGGACGAACUUCUCCUUUCGAGGAGAUUGACGGUACCGGGUGAGGAAGCACCGGCUAACUCUGUGCCAGCAGCCGCGGUAAUACAGAGGGUGCGAGCGUUGUCCGGAAUCACUGGGCGUAAAGGGCGCGUAGGUGGCGACCCAAGUCGAUGGUGAAAGCUCGCCGCUCAACGGCGAGUCGGCCACCGAUACUGGGUUGCUUGAGCACUGUAGAGGCUAAUGGAAUUCCUGGGGUAACGGUGGAAUGCUUAAAGAUCCCGAAGAACCCCGGUGGCCAAAGGCGGUUAGCUUGGGCAUUUGCUGACACUUAAGCGCCAACAGCGUGGGGGAGCAAACCGGGAAUUAGAUACCCUGGUUGAUCCACACCCGUAAACAAAGGGGGCCUUAA
This 796-nucleotide ribosomal RNA is filed under the name uncultured bacterium. Its description in RNAcentral is "bacterial SSU rRNA". It matches the Rfam family "Bacterial small subunit ribosomal RNA", at positions 8 to 821 of the family's 1533-position model. The record is from RNAcentral.